CCAAAGGCUCUUUUCAGAGCCACUCAUAUUUGCUGGAAAAGAACGU
This is a regulatory RNA element of Loxodonta africana (African savanna elephant), 46 nucleotides long. It matches the Rfam family "Histone 3' UTR stem-loop". Rfam says of the family: The mRNAs of metazoan histone genes lack a poly-A tail. The record is from Rfam. NCBI's taxonomy places the organism in Eukaryota, Metazoa, Chordata, Mammalia, Proboscidea, Elephantidae.